This 23-nucleotide non-coding RNA is filed under the name Cricetulus griseus (Chinese hamster). Lineage: Eukaryota; Metazoa; Chordata; Mammalia; Rodentia; Cricetidae. The record is from RNAcentral.
UUUUCUGGGGAAAGGGGACAAGG